Molecule: unclassified non-coding RNA, 1267 nt
Filed under: uncultured Neocallimastigales
Lineage: Eukaryota; Fungi; Neocallimastigomycota; Neocallimastigomycetes; Neocallimastigales
Description: partial contains internal transcribed spacer 1, 5.8S ribosomal RNA, internal transcribed spacer 2, and large subunit ribosomal RNA
Rfam family: Eukaryotic large subunit ribosomal RNA (bases 536-1267)
Source: RNAcentral
AAUUGUUUGUUUGAAAUAAUUUUUUUAAAAUUAUUGAAUGUCUUUCCCUGUUGAAUUGGUUGUCUUUAAUGGCAAGUGAUUCGCAGGGGAGUGUCAAUAAUUUUUAAAAAGACCUUUUUUAAAUUAAACUUUUUGUAUUUAUUUGUCUAAAAAUUAUUUUAUAAUAUAAAAACAACUUUUGACAAUGGAUCUCUUGGUUCUCGCAACGAUGAAGAACGCAGCAAAAUGCGAUAAGUAGUGUGAAUUGCAGAAUACGUGAAUCAUCGAAUCUUCGAACGCAUAUUGCACUUUUUUAGUUUACUAAAAAAGUAUGUCUGUUUGAGUAUCAGUAAAUAUUCUCAUAAAAACUUUUUGUUUUUAUGGUUAUGAGUGUUUUACAACGAUACAAGUUGUUUCACUUUAAAUUUUUUAAAAUUUGAAUUUUUCUAAUUUUAAAAUAAAAUUGGAUAAAAUUUUCCCGUAAAAAGGAAUAACCUAAACAAUUUUAAUUUUGAUUAGAAUUCUUCAUUCUAAAGGAAAAUUUAACUAAAUAACUUGAUCUCAAAUCAGAUAAGAGUACCCGCUGAACUUAAGCAUAUCAAUAAGCGGAGGAAAAGAAACUAACAAGGAUUCCCUUAGUAACGGCGAGUGAAGCGGGAAGAGCUCAAAUUUGAAAUCUUCAAGGUUUUACCUUGACGAAUUGUAGUUUAAAGAAGUGUUUUCUGUCGAAGUUUUGGUAAAAGUUCUUUGGAAUAGGACAUCAUAGAGGGUGAGAAUCCCGUAUUUGACCAUUAUUUUCAGCUGUGUGAUACACUUUCAAAGUGACGGAUUGUUUGGGAAUGCAGUCCAAAAUGGGUGGUAAAUUUCAUCUAAAGCUAAAUAUUGGCGAGAGACCGAUAGCGAACAAGUACCGUGAGGGUAAGAUGAAAAGAACUUUGAAAAGAGAGUUAAACAGUACGUGAAAUUGUCAAAAGGGAAGCGUUUGACACCAGUGUUGUUUUCUCGAAAAUCAAUUAAAAAGAGUUGGAUUUUGUGUUGUAUUGACCUUAACAGCUUGCUUCACCCUUUUCCAGCUUUUUUUAAUGCACUUUUCGUUUAACGAGUCAACAUCAGUCUCUUUUGUUGUAAAAGGGUCAUUGGAAGGUGGCUUUCUCUUCGGAGAAAGUGUUUAUAGCCUUUGAUCUCUGCAAUCGGAGAGACUGAGGUCUGCAGCGUAGAUCCUUCGGGUUAGAUACAUUUGUGCUAAGCUACAGCUUUCAUAGACAACUUGUUGACUAUGUUUAGUCUU